CAAAAGAACCAAAAAUAAAUAAAUUGAUAUAUUCACUUAUUUUUUUCCAACAAUAAUCAACCAUCUUAAAUUACGUAAAACGGCUAAUUCAUACAAAAAUUAAAGUUUGAAUACAAAAAUAAGAAAUAAUAUAUUUAUGGGAUUCCCACUAAACUAUUUAUUCAAGUGUGCAGAGCGCCAACGUGGGAUAAUAGAGUGAUGUUGUGUUUUGGAAGAUCCUGCGCAAGACCACACAGGCCAUAUUACAUGAAGCAGCGCAUCAAGGCAAAGGUCUAUCACUUGAUUUAUCUUCACCCUCAAUCUUGAUCACAUCAUGUGGUUCGUGUCUCUAUCGUACGUAUAGACCAAUACCCAGAUGCGCUGUUUCAUGAACAAAUUGCGCGGUCUUGAGCAAGAUCUGCAAGAACAGUUCACAAGGCUGAGCAUGAAACAUAAUGAGAGAGAGAGAAGUAAGUAAAAGAAAGAUGAACUAAGGAAAUAAACAGU
RNAcentral lists this long non-coding RNA (486 nucleotides) under Actinidia chinensis (golden kiwifruit). RNAcentral's name for it is "long non-coding RNA (ACHI_LNC004305)". Lineage: Eukaryota; Viridiplantae; Streptophyta; Magnoliopsida; Ericales; Actinidiaceae. The record is from RNAcentral.